CCAACAUUCUGUGUAAAAAUGGAGACGUGUCAUGAAUGACGUCACACAAAGGGACCCUUGUGGUCAAGUGAGGGGCGACCGCAUAAAGACCUGGUUACGCCCGGAGCAAGGUGACAUUAGGUGAGCCGAGGGGAACACGAGCAGGAGAUUCUAUCUGUCCUAUCUGAGGCACCACCUGCCUCGCCUCUUGCCCCAGGCGCCAUUUUCAUCGCCAUAAGGGUGACGUCCCCCCCAUGACACGUUUACCAAAUUAAACCCGCUAUAAGAGCGGGUUCAAAGGCGGAGUUCAAAGGCGGAUUUCAAAGACUGAGUUGAAGACUGAGUCCUAAGGAUGAGUUUGGAGACUGAAUUCAAAGGCUGAGUUAAAGGCCGGAACUCCAGACCGGAUGCUCAGGUCAUGAUUGCUCAAGACUAACACGUCACGAUCGACUCUCAACGAAGAAGAAAGAAGAAUGAAUACAGAAAUCUUCCGAGAGUGUCAGAGUGAUUGCUAUUAGAGAUAUG
This 504-nucleotide long non-coding RNA is filed under the name Penaeus japonicus. Its description in RNAcentral is "uncharacterized LOC122258152". Lineage: Eukaryota; Metazoa; Arthropoda; Malacostraca; Decapoda; Penaeidae. The record is from RNAcentral.